This 253-nucleotide ribosomal RNA is filed under the name uncultured bacterium. Its description in RNAcentral is "partial 16S ribosomal RNA". It matches the Rfam family "Bacterial small subunit ribosomal RNA", at positions 524 to 776 of the family's 1533-position model. The record is from RNAcentral.
UACAGAGGUCCCGAGCGUUGUUCGGAUUUACUGGGCGUAAAGGGUGCGUAGGCGGUGGGGUAAGUUUGAGGUGAAAGCUCCGGGCUCAACCCGGAAAAUGCCUUGAAAACUAUCCGGCUAGAGGGUUGGAGGGGAGACUGGAAUUCUCGGUGUAGCAGUGAAAUGCGUAGAUCUCGAGAGGAACACCAGUGGCGAAGGCGGGUCUCUGGACAACACCUGACGCUGAGGCACGAAAGCCAGGGGAGCGAACAGG